UACAGAGGCCCCAAGCGUUGUCCGGAAUCACUGGGCGUAAAGGGUGUGUAGGUGGUUUUGUUAGUUUCUCGUUAAAGCUCGCGGCCUAACCGCGAAAAUGCGAGGAAUACGGCAAAACUUAGAGGGUGCGAGGGAUGUAUGGAACUCAUGGAGUAGGGGUGAAAUCCGUUGAUAUCAUGGGGAACACCAAAAGCGAAGGCAGUACAUUGGCGCAUUCCUGACACUGAAACACGAAAGCGUAGGUAGCGAA
This 250-nucleotide ribosomal RNA is filed under the name uncultured bacterium. Its description in RNAcentral is "partial 16S ribosomal RNA". It matches the Rfam family "Bacterial small subunit ribosomal RNA", at positions 524 to 772 of the family's 1533-position model. The record is from RNAcentral.